GACGAACGCUGGCGGCGUGCUUAACACAUGCAAGUCGAACGGAAAGGCCCUGCUUUUGUGGGGUGCUCGAGUGGCGAACGGGUGAGUAACACGUGAGUAACCUGCCCUUGACUUUGGGAUAACUUCAGGAAACUGGGGCUAAUACCGGAUAGGAGCUCCUGCUGCAUGGUGGGGGUUGGAAAGUUUCGGCGGUUGGGGAUGGACUCGCGGCUUAUCAGCUUGUUGGUGGGGUAGUGGCUUACCAAGGCUUUGACGGGUAGCCGGCCUGAGAGGGUGACCGGCCACAUUGGGACUGAGAUACGGCCCAGACUCCUACGGGAGGCAGCAGUGGGGAAUAUUGCAGAAUGGGCGGAAGCCUGAUGCAGCAACGCCGCGUGCCGGAUGACGGCCUUCGGGUUGUAAACCGCUUUCGCCUGUGACGAAGCGUGCGUGACGGUAAUGGGUAAAGAAGCACCGGCUAACUACGUG
RNAcentral lists this ribosomal RNA (468 nucleotides) under uncultured bacterium. Its description in RNAcentral is "partial 16S ribosomal RNA". It matches the Rfam family "Bacterial small subunit ribosomal RNA", at positions 28 to 507 of the family's 1533-position model. The record is from RNAcentral.